This 78-nucleotide transfer RNA is filed under the name Clostridia bacterium. Its description in RNAcentral is "tRNA-Arg". It matches the Rfam family "tRNA". From Rfam's summary of the family: Transfer RNA (tRNA) molecules are approximately 80 nucleotides in length. Their secondary structure includes four short double-helical elements and three loops (D, anti-codon, and T loops). Further hydrogen bonds mediate the characteristic L-shaped molecular structure. tRNAs have two regions of fundamental functional importance: the anti-codon, which is responsible for specific mRNA codon recognition, and the 3' end, to which the tRNAs corresponding amino acid is attached (by aminoacyl-tRNA synthetases). tRNAs cope with the degeneracy of the genetic code in two manners: having more than one tRNA (with a specific anti-codon) for a particular amino acid; and 'wobble' base-pairing, i.e. permitting non-standard base-pairing at the 3rd anti-codon position. Lineage: Bacteria; Bacillati; Bacillota; Clostridia. The record is from RNAcentral.
GCGGGAUUAGCUCAGUUGAAUAGCAGCAAGCGCCUUCUAAGCGCUAGGUCACUGGUUUGAGUCCAGUAUCCCGUGCCA